Molecule: long non-coding RNA, 729 nt
Organism: Phyllostomus hastatus (greater spear-nosed bat)
Lineage: Eukaryota; Metazoa; Chordata; Mammalia; Chiroptera; Phyllostomidae
Exons: 2
Source: RefSeq, a predicted model, not a curated record
CGCGAGGCCGGGGGCCGAAUCGAGACGGCGGGAGACCGGGCCUGGCCGUCCAGCGCCGCUCCCUCCAGCCCCAGUCCGCCUUCUCAGCGCUCUCCGCCUGGGCCAGCGGACCACUAGCCGCGUCCGCGUCCUGGAUCAGAGAUGAAGUAAUGGCUGAGCAACUGAAAACGAAAACCGAAACGGCCUUCCACUCUGCACGAUUCUGAGCGGACGCCCAACACCAGCAGCUGCAUCAGUGAAAACCGGUGCAACCCGAGGCCGGCGCAGGCUCCAGCUCGAGGAGCGGUCGGGCUUUGCCGAAAGUCUGGGGCCGGCCCGUGGGUGCCAAGCUUCCGCGUACCGAUAUGAAGCUGUCAGCACGUCUGAAAACGGAUCACUUUUAAAAUCUGUGACCUGCUGGGUGUCGAGGACAACGGGGUCGAGGACAGCGUCAAUUCCCGAGUCUUCCUCUGCAUCUCCACGGGCCUUCUGCGGAAGUAGUCAUGACGACGAGGCACCACCCCCCACCCUGCGCGGACAGUUCCUCUCAGCGUAAGCUUUUGCAAACAUUCGGGUCACGCAGGAGAAAAUAAUACAGCUAAUGACACUGCUGCUGCCGUCACUUUCCCCACAAAAAUAUUACUUAAAAAAUGGACUACACGUUAAAUAAAUAUUCUGUUAUUAAUCCUUAAAUAUAUUAACACCAAAAAUCAUGUAUAAAUUAAGGAAAUAAAUGUACAAACUAUCUCA